UUCUCACCGGAAAGUUGGUUCCAGCGGCUUGCACUGAAGUAGCUAAACCAGGUCCUUAAAUUAAUGUCGCUUGUCCACCAGUCAUCCCUCUAAUCUAGUGAAUUAGGGUGCGAUGAAGAAGUUUUGCAAUAUUUUUCUUUUUCUUUUUAAUAAAUAAGUCAUCUAUAUAUAGAUUUUAAUAGAUAAAUAGUCCCUUCAUUCUUGAUGUUUACCAAAUGAAGAGUGACUUGUGAUUGGAUAGUUAUUUUUAAUGGAAUGUUACUAAAAUGAUAUAUUUGGAAUUCUUAAACCUUUUUUAAAAUGCCACAUUUUCUAAAAUUUCUCAAAAUACCAUGAAACAAUGGACAACGGUUUCAUUUGUG
Molecule: long non-coding RNA, 362 nt
Filed under: Capsella grandiflora
Lineage: Eukaryota; Viridiplantae; Streptophyta; Magnoliopsida; Brassicales; Brassicaceae
Description: long non-coding RNA (CGRA_LNC000669)
Source: RNAcentral